CCUAGGACUUGUUCCUGGGCCACA
Molecule: ribosomal RNA, 24 nt
Filed under: Frankliniella occidentalis (western flower thrips)
Lineage: Eukaryota; Metazoa; Arthropoda; Insecta; Thysanoptera; Thripidae
Description: partial 5.8S ribosomal RNA
Source: RNAcentral